RNAcentral lists this ribosomal RNA (253 nucleotides) under uncultured bacterium. RNAcentral's name for it is "partial 16S ribosomal RNA". It matches the Rfam family "Bacterial small subunit ribosomal RNA", at positions 524 to 776 of the family's 1533-position model. The record is from RNAcentral.
UACAGAGGGGGCAAGCGUUGUUCGGAAUUACUGGGCGUAAAGGGCGCGUAGGCGGCCUGCUAAGUCGAACGUGAAAUCCCCGAGCUCAACUCGGGAACUGCGUCCGAUACUGGCAGGCUUGAAUCCGGGAGAGGGAUGCGGAAUUCCAGGUGUAGCGGUGAAAUGCGUAGAUAUCUGGAGGAACACCGGUGGCGAAGGCGGCAUCCUGGACCGGCAUUGACGCUGAGGCGCGAAAGCCAGGGGAGCAGACGGG